RNAcentral lists this ribosomal RNA (403 nucleotides) under Fusobacteriota bacterium. Its description in RNAcentral is "Fusobacteria bacterium partial 16S ribosomal RNA". It matches the Rfam family "Bacterial small subunit ribosomal RNA", at positions 355 to 776 of the family's 1533-position model. Lineage: Bacteria; Fusobacteriati; Fusobacteriota. The record is from RNAcentral.
UGGGGAAUAUUGCACAAUGGAGGGAACUCUGAUGCAGCGACGCCGCGUGAACGAAGAAGGCUUUCGAGUCGUAAAGUUCUUUUAUAUGGGAAGAUAAUGACGGUACCAUAAGAAAAAGCCCCGGCUAACUACGUGCCAGCAGCCGCGGUAAUACGUAGGGGGCUAGCGUUGUCCGGAAUCACUGGGCGUAAAGGGUUCGCAGGCGGAAAUGCAAGUCAGGUGUAAAAGGCAGUAGCUUAACUACUGUAAGCAUUUGAAACUGCAUAUCUUGAGAAGAGUAGAGGUAAGUGGAAUUUUUAGUGUAGCGGUGAAAUGCGUAGAUAUUAAAAAGAAUACCGGUGGCGAAGGCGACUUACUGGGCUCAUACUGACGAUGAGGAACGAAAGCGUGGGUAGCAAACAGG